RNAcentral lists this ribosomal RNA (579 nucleotides) under Penicillium citrinum. Its description in RNAcentral is "eukaryotic LSU rRNA". It matches the Rfam family "Eukaryotic large subunit ribosomal RNA", at positions 36 to 619 of the family's 3401-position model. Lineage: Eukaryota; Fungi; Ascomycota; Eurotiomycetes; Eurotiales; Aspergillaceae. The record is from RNAcentral.
UUGCAURUCAAUAAGCGGAGGAAAAGAAACCAACCGRGAUUGCCCUAGUAACGRCGAGGAAGCGGCAAGAGCUCAAAUUUGAAAGCUGGCCCCCUCGGGGUCCGCAUUGUAAUUUGCAGAGGAUGCUUCGGGAACGGCCCCCAUCUAAGUGCCCUGGAACGGGCCGUCAUAGAGGGUGAGAAUCCCGUCUGGGAUGGGGUGGCCGCGCCCGUGUGAAGCUCCUUYGACGAGUCGAGUUGUUUGGGAAUGCAGCUCUAAUUGGGUGGUAAAUUUCAUCUAAAGCUAAAUAUUGGCCGGAGACCGAUAGCGCACAAGUAGAGUGAUCGAAAGAUGAAAAGCACUUUGAAAAGAGAGUUAAACAGCACGUGAAAUUGUUGAAAGGGAAGCGCUUGCGACCAGACUCGCCCGCGGGGUUCAGCCGGCACUCGUGCCGGUGUACUUCCCCGCGGGCGGGCCAGYKUCRGUUUGGGCGGCCGGUCAAAGGCCUCUGGAAGGUAACGCCUCUCGGGGCGUCUUAUAGCCAGGGGUGCCAUGCGGCCUGCCCGGACCGAGGAACGCGCUUCGGCUUCGGAUYGGCKU